AAUCGAACCCGGAGAUAGCUGGUUCUCCUCGAAAUAGCUUUAGGGCUAGCCUCGGUUUAGUCUGCUGGAGGUAGAGCACUGAAUUUCCUAGGGGGCGUCAAAGCUUACCGAAGAAUAUCAAACUCCGAAUGCCGCGUAGAUGAUGUAUGGGAGUCAGACUAUACGAGAUAAGUUGGAUAGUCGAAAGGGAAAGAGCCCAGACCACCAGCUAAGGUCCCAAAAUGUGUGUUAAGUGGAAAAGGAUGUGGGAUUUCGAAGACAACUAGGAUGUUGGCUCAGAAGCAGCCACACAUUCAAAGAGUGCGUAAUAGCUCACUAGUCGAGAGGUCCUGCGCCGAAAAUGUCCGGGGCUGAAACACACUACCGAAGCUUGGGAAUUGACGAAUGUUAAUUGGUAGAGGAGCAUUCUUAACGGGGCGAAGCUGUACCGGAAGGAGCAGUGGACUGUUAAGAAGAGAGAAUGCCGGAAUGAGUAGCGAGAGGAAGGUGAGAAUCCUUCCGGCCGAAUAUCUAAGGUUUCCAGAGUAAAGCUGAUCUGCUCUGGGUAAGUCGGGGCCUAAGGCGAGGUCGAAAGACGUAGUCGAUGGAUAACAGGUAAAGAUUCCUGUACUGUAUCAUAACAGAACUGUGGGGACGCAGACAGAGAGCAUAAGCCGGGAAUGGAAAGACCGGUACAAGCGAGGUAGGAGUGCAUCAGGCAAAUCCGGUGCACAAUCUGAAGACGUGAUGUGGGGCGUAAAGCCGGAAGUAUGUGAGCUGGCUGCCAAGAAAAGCCGCUAUUGUUUAUGAUAUACCCGUACCGUAAACCGACACAGGUGGAUGAGGAGAGAAUCCUAAGGCCGACGGGAGAAGCAUUGUUAAGGAACUCGGCAAAAUGACUCCGUAACUUCGGGAGAAGGAGUGCCAUGUAAAAGUGGCCGCAGAGAAUUGGCCCAAGCAACUGUUUAGCAAAAACACAGGUCUAUGCAAAACCGAAAGGUGAGGUAUAUGGGCUGACGCCUGCCCGGUGCUGGAAGGUUAAGAGGAGAGGUUAGCGCAAGCGAAGCUUUGAAUUUAAGCCCCAGUAAACGGCGGCCGUAACUAUAACGGUCCUAAGGUAGCGAAAUUCCUUGUCGGGUAAGUUCCGACCCGCACGAAAGGCGUAAUGAUUUGGGCACUGUCUCAACAAUGCACCCGGUGAAAUUGAAAUACCAGUGAAGAUGCUGGUUACCUGCGCCAGGACGGAAAGACCCCAUGGAGCUUUACUCCAGUUUGGUACUGGGAUCCGGUACUGCAUGUACAGGAUAGGUGGGAGGCUAUGAAUCGGUAACGCCAGUUGCCGAGGAGCCGCUGUUGGGAUACCACCCUUGCAGUAUUGGGUUUCUAACCAGCCGCCGUGACCCGGCGGUGGGACAAUGCCAGACGGGGAGUUUGACUGGGGCGGUCGCCUCCGAAAGGGUAUCGGAGGCGCUCAAAGG
This 1457-nucleotide ribosomal RNA is filed under the name human gut metagenome. Its description in RNAcentral is "bacterial LSU rRNA". It matches the Rfam family "Bacterial large subunit ribosomal RNA", at positions 831 to 2316 of the family's 2925-position model. The record is from RNAcentral.